This 497-nucleotide ribosomal RNA is filed under the name uncultured bacterium. RNAcentral's name for it is "partial 16S ribosomal RNA". It matches the Rfam family "Bacterial small subunit ribosomal RNA", at positions 28 to 507 of the family's 1533-position model. The record is from RNAcentral.
GAUGAACGCUGGCGGCGUGCCUAAUACAUGCAAGUCGAGCGAACAGACGAGGAGCUUGCUCCUCUGACGUUAGCGGCGGACGGGUGAGUAACACGUGGAUAACCUACCUAUAAGACUGGGAUAACUUCGGGAAACCGGAGCUAAUACCGGAUAAUAUAUUGAACCGCAUGGUUCAAUAGUGAAAGACGGUUUUGCUGUCACUUAUAGAUGGAUCCGCGCCGCAUUAGCUAGUUGGUAAGGUCACGGCUUACCAAGGCAACGAUGCGUAGCCGACCUGAGAGAGUGAUCGGCCACACUGGAACUGAGACACGUUCCAGACUCCUACGGGAGGCAGCAGUAGGGAAUCUUCCGCAAUGGGCGAAAGCCUGACGGAGCAACGCCGCGUGAGUGAUGAAGGUCUUCGGAUCGUAAAACUCUGUUAUUAGGGAAAAACAAAUGUGUAAGUAACUAUGCACGUCUUGACGGUACCUAAUCAGAAAGCCACGGCUAACUACGUG